GACGAACGUUGGCGGCGUGCUUAAUACAUGCAAGUCAACUGAAGCAGUGGUAGCAAUAUCGCUGUGGAGGUGGCGCACGGGUGAGUAACACGUAGGUAAUCUGCCUUCAGGUCUGGCAUAACUCCGGGAAACCGGGGCUAAUAGCAGAUGAUGCAGCGGCUCGACAUCGAGACAGUUGUUAAAGCUAUGGCGCCUGAAGAUGAGCCUGCGUCUGAUUAGCUAGUUGGCGGGGUAACGGCCCACCAAGGCAACGAUCAGUAGCUGGUCUGAGAGGAUGAUCAGCCACACUGGAACUGAGACACGGUCCAGACUCCUACGGGAGGCAGCAGGAAGGAAUAUUGCUCAAUGGGAGAAAUCCUGAAGCAGCAACGCCGCGUGAGGGACGAAGGGCUUUUGCUUGUAAACCUCUGUAGUGAGAGAAAAAAAUCCCAAUCUUUGGGACAUGAUGGUAUCUCAAAAGUAAGCCCCGGCUAACUACGUG
RNAcentral lists this ribosomal RNA (481 nucleotides) under uncultured bacterium. RNAcentral describes it as "partial 16S ribosomal RNA". It matches the Rfam family "Bacterial small subunit ribosomal RNA", at positions 28 to 507 of the family's 1533-position model. The record is from RNAcentral.